UUACGUUAUCACUUUGUCGAGCCUUUUCCUUAUUUGGGAGAACUGGUAGAAACUCCCAACGUACAAGGCGUUAAGCAUAAGAGUACGUUCAUGGAUCACUAGGUCUUCCCUCUAAACACCUGCAUUCCCUAAUUUUAUACAUAAUUUGGUGUUGGCGUCGAUGCACAAGGAGAAUUGCUCCCCCUUCCUCAAUUUCAAUCACGAAGACAAAUCCAUUUCCUUCCCUAACUGUUUAUCAAACGAAAUUAGAUGUGGUUGCUCUAGAUCUGGUGGUAUUUUGCCCUAGAUUUAAUAGUUGAGGGCGGAAAAUUUCAUGAUUGCUGAAGUACAUAUGCUUCAGAUCUUAUGAAAACGGAUCCACUUUAGCUUCUCCAACAAACCAAAUCGUGGCUCAGAGCAGCGGUUCGUGUUGGUGCUUCAUGACGGUCGUUCAGGAGAGAGGAAUGACAAAAAGAGAAGGUUUAAGAAGUUGAGACGAGAAGCUGAGUAAUAUUUUUAGGAGGUUGCCACAAUAUUUCGUCGGAGAAGAAGGUGGAGGUGGUAGUUUCUGAUUAUAAGAGGAGUAGAGGCGGAGGGAGGUGGCGAACGAAUAAAUCUAGAGCUGCUGGUGUCUGACGGCGAUUUGGUGGUUCCCAGCCGCUGCCUAGUGGUUUCCGACGACGGUAUGAUGAUUUGGCGAUUUGUUCAGGUGGCCGGUGCAACAUUUCUCCGGAGAAGAAGGAUGAGGAGUUGGCUUCCGAUUGUGGGAGGAUUAGAGGUUGGGGAGAUCGUGAAGGAGCAAAUAUGGAGCCGAUGGUUUGGUGUUUCAGGCGGUGGUCUGGUGGCUCCCGACGGUUUCCGGUUGUGGUCCGGUACUGUCAGUUUAGGUCCGUAUGAGAGAAGAGAAUGGGGGAAUUUAGGUGGGUAAUUUGUAUUUGAGUAAAAACACGCGUGUUUUUGAACUUAUAGGCCAAAAAAUGCUCUCACAUUAAAAAUGUUAUCAUUGAAAUGNUUAGGUCCGUAUGAGAGAAGAGAAUGGGGGAAUUUAGGUGGGUAAUUUGUAUUUGAGUAAAAACACGCGUGUUUUUGAACUUAUAGGCCAAAAAAUGCUCUCACAUUAAAAAUGUUAUCAUUGAAA
Molecule: long non-coding RNA, 1117 nt
Filed under: Lactuca sativa (garden lettuce)
Lineage: Eukaryota; Viridiplantae; Streptophyta; Magnoliopsida; Asterales; Asteraceae
Description: long non-coding RNA (LSAT_LNC005671)
Source: RNAcentral